GUGUAGGUGGAAGCGGUGGUGGAGGAGGGAGCCAACACUGUUUUUUAGUUGUUUUUUUUUUUUUAUUGGGCACUACUGGCCAGGGCCCCACUCCAUCCCCUACCUAUUAGUGAAGAUCCGUUCGGCAGAGUAGCUGUCGACAUUAUAGUUGCGCAGGCACUUUGGUGACUCCAGAGAACCUCGGGCCAAUCGCACGUCCCCGUGACGACGACUUUGCAUUUGGAUGUCUGCCCUAUCAACUUUCAAUGCCACUUUCUGCGCCUACCAUGGUGACCAUGGGUAACGGGGAAUCAAGGUUUGAUUCCGGAGAGGGAGCCUGAGAAACGGCUACUACAUCCAAGGAAGGCA
Molecule: non-coding RNA, 348 nt
Organism: Pelobates cultripes (western spadefoot toad)
Lineage: Eukaryota; Metazoa; Chordata; Amphibia; Anura; Pelobatidae
Source: the annotation of a GenBank genome assembly